GGGGGCGGCACGCUCGGUCCCACGCGGAGCCGCGUGGCGGGCCCGGCUCCCGCCGCCGCCCCUGCGCGGAUCGGGAACACCGCCGGACACAAGGGAUCAGAUCCCGGCGGGACUGGGAGCCAGAGAGGCUGCCAGAUGCUUAAAGGACUCAAAGAAAGGAAGUUAGAGGCUGACAAAAGCACCUACAUCCAGCCUAACACCAGCAUCAGAUCCACUCCAGUCAUCAGCUGCUCUGGCAGGUAGGACCUCUGACAGGAAGUUACCACAGACUUCACAAACAGGAUGGAAAGAUGAUGUUUGACAGGUAAGUGGAACAGCCUUUACUUCUACCAAAGUAGAUUCUUUCUCAAGGUUUUUAUCUAUUAAUACUGACUGUUUUUACAGGCUGACACAAUAUUACUAACAAAAGCAUUGUCAACUUUAAUGAAGCUGAGUACCUGGUACAGGUAAUCACAAUAGGAGGUUAUUUUAGCAGUGGUAGCACCCUAAGAAUGGGGAAGCAGGAAAAUGCCAGGAGUCAGUAUUCCAUGGUCCUUGUAACCUUUUCUUUCAAGACAAGGCAGACAUAAUUUCUAUGGCUAGGACAGAAUUUCAUACUGAGGAGCCGUCAAUACAAAAACAAAAGAAGGAGCUGAGGGGAAAAGAAGAUAAGGGACCUGCCCCCUCUUUCUCAUUAGAGCAUCUGAUGCUGGCAGGAGCAAACAAUAUUAAAGAAACAGUGUGAGGGGGAGAGGGAAGCAGUAUGAAAACAACCAGUUCCUAUAGCCACCCUAGGACAAAGAACAUUCAAAUAGGAGGAACAAAAGUCAAACAAAAGGAGUAAGGGCAAAAAGACACAAAUACUAGUGCAAACAAUCACAUGUACAGAAGGAGACAGGCAAGAGAAACACCUGGGUAGGUUGAGAAGACUGGCUCCAAGCAAAAAAGUGGAGUAAACCUGGGGAGAAAGCAAACCUGAUUUCUCAGGGAUCAGAAAGGUAAGUAUCAGAUGUUAAAUGGGGUGUGAGGGAAAGAAGGAGUGAGGAAACAAACACAAAAACUAGAGCUGUAAAAGGAGAAAGAGGUGUUCUGACCUAAUGCUCUUAAAGGAAAGGUCUAGGGAAGGAAGAUUCUUUGCUAGGAGGAGGAUAGGAGAAAACUGAAGGGUCUCAGGAUGCCUGCCAAUGAAAUUUCUAUAUCACAUUUUAAAAAUUAAACCUUUUCCUCUGUGCUUAACUAAA
Haemorhous mexicanus (house finch) is the source of this 1220-nucleotide long non-coding RNA. RefSeq lists it as uncharacterized. The transcript is spliced from 2 exons. Lineage: Eukaryota; Metazoa; Chordata; Aves; Passeriformes; Fringillidae. The record is from RefSeq and is a predicted model, not a curated record.